CACAGGGACUAGGUAUAUCCUUGCCCCUGAAACACAUGGGAAAAAUCUGGACAAAAUAACAAGCAGGAAGAAGGGGUCUAGAGCGGAAUCUGGUGACAAAGCAGCCCUGGGUCAUUUGGCUGGCGGCUCACACACCCCCAGGAGCACCUCCAAGGGACUCAGUACUCUCCAGUGCUAAGGCAAGAAAAUGUUCCAAAGGAUGGUUCUGACUGUAUUUGAAUUAUAAUUAAAGUUGCAAAUAACCCA
Molecule: long non-coding RNA, 246 nt
Filed under: Capra hircus (goat)
Lineage: Eukaryota; Metazoa; Chordata; Mammalia; Artiodactyla; Bovidae
Description: lncRNA (ENSCHIG00000008061.1)
Source: RNAcentral